Molecule: long non-coding RNA, 4061 nt
Organism: Hordeum vulgare subsp. vulgare (domesticated barley)
Lineage: Eukaryota; Viridiplantae; Streptophyta; Magnoliopsida; Poales; Poaceae
Exons: 6
Source: RefSeq, a predicted model, not a curated record
GGGGUGGGGGGGUCCAGGGUGAGACCUUCAAGAUGGAUUUGAUGUUACUGUUAUUCAGUUUGCGGGUAGAGGAUGUGAUUCCAGCAAUACAGAGACGACGCCGAUGACAAGUGAGAUGCAUGUGAAGCAAUAUUAGGAGCUGCUCACAUGAUCACUGGAAGCAUAUAAAGGACUGAAUUAUGCCAUUGUUGAUGGUGCACGGGUCUGUUGCAUGGUAACGUCAAUGCAAAGCAGUUCUCCACACCAGCACUCAGGAGCAAAGAUUUGAGAGGCAGGGAUGGAUUGCUCAAGUGGAAACAAAGCAAGAAUCAGAAGGAGCUCAAUAUUUUUCUACUACAUUACUAAUAGCUUUGUGAGCAGCGAGGGUCACAACUAACGGUGGAGAUCGAGCUAAUGAUCUCACAAAAACUUCUAUGGGUUCAUCAAAGAUGAAGGAGGUUAGUUUUUACCUGAGCGGCAACACCGGCCGCCAUGGUCUUGCUGGAGCCUACCUAGCCGUGGUAAGUCACCAGCUUCAGGUAGUGUAGGCACAGCCAGAAAAAACGCCAUGGGGUGCAGCCUUGCAAGGGCGCAUCAGGCUGGGCCUCCUCUAUUUCCGAUGAGUUCAUCCUAUUUUCUUUCUCCUUCACUAGCAUUCUUUUUUAUGUAAUUAUUUCAUUUAUCCAUGACAUCGACCAUCCUAUGUUUCAGUUAUGAAGUAAUGAACAAAUGUGUCGUGCAAUGCCUGUAGGAAAGAGUUUAAAUUAGUUGUUCCAGUCUUUGCCUAUACCUUUAUGGACAGUAGGCUUAACUCUUUUGAACUAUAAGUUCUUUGAUGCUAGGUACAAAGUUUAUGAUUAACUGAAAUCAGAUAACACAGAGUAUCAAAUUCAGUUUCACUUAUUGGAGUUGUUGUUCUAUGUUUGCUGCAUUGCAUUCUUAUCAAGUCGUUCUUAUCUAACCGAUUUUGUAGGUCCAUACUGUUUCUUAUAUGCACUUUUUCCCAUGUAUUUAGUUGAGAGAAAUAUUCUUGGGAGAACAGAGAUGUGAAAACCCACCAGAUUAGUUUAUGGUGCAACAAUUAUUUCUUGAUUUGUUGAGAUAAGCGAGGCUCUUCAUGUAUGCUUUGUUAUUAAACAAAAUUGUAGUUCUUCUGAUACAUAGAUUGUUGGCAUUAAAAAUCAUAGCCUCAAUUACUUUUGAAGCAUAAUAGUGCCUUAUGAUUUUUUUAUCUGUCCACUUUCAAAAUACUUAUUUCCUAUGUCGACACUAUUAAUCAGUUCUUUGGUUCAUAUCUUCUCUAACAUGUUCAUGCUCCUUCCCAUACACGCUACAUAAUCUCAAAGAGUUUCUAAACCCAUUUGUGGAACACAUGGUCAUCAAAAUCACAUGUGGAUGUGUUCAGAUGCAAGUUCGGGCUAAUUGGACUAACUUUGUCUAGGCGGCAAGGUUUAAUCAAGUGACAUGUGUGUCUUUGUUUUUGAAGGCAAAGAUGGCACACUGUGAGCCAGUGUGCAUAACCUUUCAUAAAGUCUUAAAUAGAUCCAACUAUCAAUGUACAUAAACCAGAAGACAAUAGGACAAGCAUAUCCAUAUGAUAUAGCUAGCUAUGUAGUUUGCUUUAUAAAGGCAGUGUAAAUGAGCUGUCGCAAACUACAUUCGUAGCUUUCUUUCGAUGUAAGUUGUUGUUUUUCUUCUAUCGAGCUGCCCAUUCUAUUACCAGGCAGGAUAUGCCUGAGACAAUUAUGUAUAAAGAUGCUAUCUAAGUCUUGCAUGGUAUGCCUGAACCAUGAUGUUAUCAUGAUGGAUAAAUAAAUAUGCCAUCUAAGUAUCUCCUCCAUACUAUUUAAAUAAGCUACAUAUGUCUGAUUAUGUAUAAAGAUGCCAUAUAAAUACCAGCUUUCAUAAGGUCCAAUGUUUGGUUUGCUUUGGCUACUUGCGCGAGUGGUGCAAUGGGCCUUCGAUGACAACCCAUCGAACACACCUACCAUAAAGAGUUGCUUGGACGAUCUGGUCAUUUUUCAUAUCGAUGAAAAUGCAGCGAUGGCUAUCUAAUGUCGACAACUACAUGUUUUGGUCAUACAUAGCAGGAGAAGAUUAAAAAAACAUAGGUUGGAAGAUGAGAGCUAUCUAUAUGAUAUAUGGCUACCAAUAUAGCUUGUUUUGCUUACCAUGAACUGAUUUCAUGGCUUUUUCUUGGGUCUUUGUAUCAUCACUAAGCAUCUAUGUACCAGCAAUAGGUACUUAUUUUUAUAUGUUUCAAUAUGUGCUCGAAUAAUAUUAAUGUACACUCUUUCAAUACAUGGCUUGCUCUUGGCCUUUGCGCCAUGGCGCAACGGAUCAUCUAGUUUACAAAAAAACGAACGAGCCAAACCAAAUGGACAAAACAUGGACAAUGUACGUUUCCAUUUGAAUCACGCGGUUGGAGUUGCUCUAAAGCAGCCUCCUUUCUGCCUAAAUACAUGAUGCGGUGCAACGAUACAAGGAGAUAACACGCUAGGAUACAAAGGAAUUUCGAAUACCCAUAGCACACCAAUUUCCACUUGGCCACGAUAAAGGCCUACCUAAUGCUUGGCUGUCAUUGGCAUUUUUCACCGCUAGCGUCUAUAUAUUUGAAGUAGUACCUCAUAAUGGGUCGUACAAUACUUAGGCAAACAUGUAAAAGUUUAAUUUUUGAAAAAAUUAAUACAUCUUACAUUUUGAAAUAGAUGGAGUAGGUAAUAGGAAUGUGAAGAGGUUGGGCAUGAGAGGGUGGGUGCAUGUAGUUGUAUGCGCAUGAUAUAAAGGGGCUAUGUGUUCUAUUCUCGUCUGAUCUACUUGUUACAUGUUACUGUUAUUAUUAGCUACUUCCUUCGUUCCUUUAUACUUCCUCUGUAAAGAAAUAUAAGAGUGUUUAAAUCACUAUUUUAGUGAUGUAAACGCUUUUAUUCUUGUUUACGGAGGAAGUAUAAGAGAGAUGUAUUUGUUUUCUAUAUAAAUUUUCACAAUGUAAGCUGUGUUUAUUUGGAAAGUCAUUGAGAGGUGGGACAGUUUGGGAGGGUUUGGGGAAAUACCUUUGGGGGGAACCAGAAAUGAAAGGAAAAAGGUCUAAACGGUAGAGGGAAGGAAAGACGUAAAUAAGGUUUAACAAAUAGACGACGCAACCUUAGAUUUAUUUUAAGUAAGAAAGAAGAGAGAUAAGGGAAUGGACGUUUGGCUCCCGAGCACCAUGAAGGCCUUCAAAUUUAAAAUUCAAAUUUCAUGAAAAUUCAUAUUUUUACGUUUCAAAAAAUUCUAAAAAAAUACAUAAAUAUGUGAGGAUGUAACACACAUGUGUGUAAAUUUUCAGGGCAAAAUAAGUUAAAAUGAGGGUUGUGCAAAAAAUACAAAUCUAAAGAUUUUUAACACAUGAUACUAUUCAUCCUCUAGGGUCAUGAAUUUGUCUUUUUUUAUACAGAUUGCAUUUCAACGUUUUUCAUCCUGAAAUUUUACACACAUAUACAUAACAUCCUUGUUUACUAGCAUAAUUGUUUUUCAGAUUUUUUUAAAAACCGAAAAAAUUGAAUUUUGAAUUAUUUUCAAAAAAGGCCUCCAUGGUGCUCGGGAGCCAAAAGCAAUUUCCGGAGAGAUAAUGCCUUCAGUUCUUCUUGGCAAUAUAAUAGAUCCCUUUACUCUUACAGACAAUAGACAAAGCACAUUCUCUCGGUCCGAAGGAAGUUGUGAACGUGCAUCAUUCUUAGCCUGGAAGUAAAAGUGACGACUCUCCAUGACGACUCUACACCGUGUCAAGCUCGUGAGAUUUAUGAUCCCGUGACUACAAUUCUAAAGGCGGUUCUCCAUGCGGUUCGAGGAUGGAUAUACAACUGGGUCGCGUGAGUUGUGUACAGAGGGUGGACUUGCAACUUGUACGUGCGAGUAGAGUAUCGAUGAUGGGCAUUCCAGUUGCAUAUUGAUGGAUAGACAUGCAAAUUAUCAUGUAAUUGUGUGUAAGGGUGGACAUGUAGCUGGAGAAGGGGGCAUCUUAGGUAUUUGUUUCCAUAUGAUGGGAAAACGAAACAAGUGAAACAAAAAAAGAUUGUGGGUUCAAAACAAGAAUUUAAAAA